RNAcentral lists this ribosomal RNA (384 nucleotides) under uncultured Gammaproteobacteria bacterium. RNAcentral's name for it is "bacterial SSU rRNA". It matches the Rfam family "Bacterial small subunit ribosomal RNA", at positions 1034 to 1419 of the family's 1533-position model. Lineage: Bacteria; Pseudomonadati; Pseudomonadota; Gammaproteobacteria. The record is from RNAcentral.
ACAGGUGCUGCAUGGCUGUCGUCAGCUCGUGUCGUGAGGUGUUGGGUUAAGUCCCGUAACGAGCGCAACCCUUGUCCUUAUUUGCCAUCAUUUAGUUGGGCACUCUAGGGAGACUGCCGGUGACAAACCGGAGGAAGGUGGGGACGACGUCAAGUCAUCAUGGCCCUUACGACCAGGGCUACACACGUGCUACAAUGGGCUGUACAAAGGGUUGCGACCUCGCGAGAGUAAGCUAAUCCCAUAAAACAGUUCGUAGUCCGGAUCGCAGUCUGCAACUCGACUGCGUGAAGUCGGAAUCGCUAGUAAUCGCGAAUCAGAAUGUCGCGGUGAAUACGUUCCCGGGCCUUGUACACACCGCCCGUCACACCAUGGGAGUGGGUUGCA